AGGCACGUAGCUCAGUUGGUUAGAGCACCACCUUGACAUGGUGGGGGGCGUUGGUUCGAAUCCAAUCGUGCCUACCA
Molecule: transfer RNA, 77 nt
Filed under: Pseudomonas aeruginosa
Lineage: Bacteria; Pseudomonadati; Pseudomonadota; Gammaproteobacteria; Pseudomonadales; Pseudomonadaceae
Description: tRNA-Val
Rfam family: tRNA
About the family: Transfer RNA (tRNA) molecules are approximately 80 nucleotides in length. Their secondary structure includes four short double-helical elements and three loops (D, anti-codon, and T loops).
Source: RNAcentral